Molecule: unclassified non-coding RNA, 285 nt
Filed under: uncultured fungus
Lineage: Eukaryota; Fungi
Description: sequence contains ITS1
Source: RNAcentral
GUACAUAAGAAAUGAGCUAGAAGGUUUGAGCGAAGCCAGGCGCAACGCGCUCAUGGCUUUCAUAAUUCAGAAUUGUUACCUCGUUUCGGUGGCUGUUCCGACCGCGGACUCGGCAAGAAGAAUCUUCACCGUUCUAAAUUCACGUGGCCUCGACCUUACCGCCACGGACAUCCUCAAGGCUGAUCUCCUAGAUAGGGCCGGCGAGGCUCGCGAGGCUGAAUUGGCGGAACGCUGGGAAGCGGUGGAAAUGACGGGCGGACGAGAAAAAACAGUGGAGCUCUUCGG